Acanthosepion pharaonis is the source of this 114-nucleotide non-coding RNA. NCBI's taxonomy places the organism in Eukaryota, Metazoa, Mollusca, Cephalopoda, Sepiida, Sepiidae. The record is from the annotation of a GenBank genome assembly.
UUACGGUCACAUCACAUUAAAACACCGGUUCCCGUAUGAUAACCGAAGUUAAGUAACGUCCAGCCUAGUCAAUACCUAGAUGGGUGACCACUUAAGAAUAGCAGGAGCUGUAAG